Molecule: ribosomal RNA, 254 nt
Filed under: uncultured bacterium
Lineage: Bacteria
Description: partial 16S ribosomal RNA
Rfam family: Bacterial small subunit ribosomal RNA
Source: RNAcentral
GACGAACCGUGCGAACGUUAUUCGGAAUCACUGGGCUUAAAGCGCGUGUAGGCGGAACGGCACGUCGGUCGCUGAAAUCCCCCGGCUCAACCGGGGAACGGGCACCGAUACGACCGUUCUCGAGGGACGUAGGGGGACCUGGAACUUCCGGUGGAGCGGUGAAAUGCGUUGAGAUCGGAAGGAACGCCCGUGGCGAAAGCGAGGUCCUGGACGUUUUCUGACGCUGAGACGCGAAAGCCAGGGGAGCGAACGGG